This 73-nucleotide transfer RNA is filed under the name Deltaproteobacteria bacterium. RNAcentral's name for it is "tRNA-Thr". It matches the Rfam family "tRNA". From Rfam's summary of the family: Transfer RNA (tRNA) molecules are approximately 80 nucleotides in length. The record is from RNAcentral. Lineage: Bacteria; Pseudomonadati; Myxococcota; Myxococcia.
GCCAGCGUAGCUCAGCUGGUAGAGCUACUGAUUUGUAAUCAGUGGGUCGGGGGUUCAAGUCCCUCCGCUGGCU